UCCUACGGGAGGCAGCAGUGAGGAAUAUUGGUCAAUGGGCGUAAGCCUGAACCAGCCAAGUAGCGUGCAGGAUGACGGCCCUAUGGGUUGUAAACUGCUUUUGUCAGGGAACAAAGUGAGGGACGUGUCCCUUUUUGCGUGUACCUGUCGAAUAAGGACCGGCUAAUUCCGUGCCAGCAGCCGCGGUAAUACGGAAGGUCCGGGCGUUAUCCGGAUUUAUUGGGUUUAAAGGGAGCGUAGGCCGAAGGCUAAGCGUGUUGUGAAAUGUAGUCGCUCAACGGGUGCACUGCAGCGCGAACUGGCUUUCUUGAGUGCGCGGAAAGUUGGCGGAAUUCGUUGUGUAGCGGUGAAAUGCUUAGAUAUGACGAAGAACUCCGAUUGCGAAGGCAGCUGACUGUAGCGUAACUGACGCUGAAGCUCGAAAGCGUGGGUAUCGAACAGGAUUAGAUACCCUGGUAGUCC
Molecule: ribosomal RNA, 462 nt
Filed under: uncultured bacterium
Lineage: Bacteria
Description: bacterial SSU rRNA
Rfam family: Bacterial small subunit ribosomal RNA
Source: RNAcentral